AGUGAACGCUGGCGGUGGGCCUAACACAUGCAAGUCGAACGGCAGCACAGUAAGAGCUUGCUCUUACGGGUGGCGAGUGGCGGACGGGUGAGGAAUACAUCGGAAUCUACUUUUUCGUGGGGGAUAACGUAGGGAAACUUACGCUAAUACCGCAUACGACCUACGGGUGAAAGCAGGGGAUCUUCGGACCUUGCGCGAUUGAAUGAGCCGAUGUCGGAUUAGCUAGUUGGCGGGGUAAAGGCCCACCGAGGCGACGAUCCGUAGCUGGUCUGAGAGGAUGAUCAGCCACACUGGAACUGAGACACGGUCCAGACUCCUACGGGAGGCAGCAGUGGGGAAUAUUGGACAAUGGGCGCAAGCCUGAUCCAGCCAUACCGCGUGGGUGAAGAAGGCCUUCGGGUUGUAAAGCCCUUUUGUUGGGAAAGAAAAGCAGCAGGUUAAUACCCCGCUGUUCUGACGGUACCCAAAGAAUAAGCACCGGCUAACUUCGUG
This 492-nucleotide ribosomal RNA is filed under the name uncultured bacterium. RNAcentral's name for it is "partial 16S ribosomal RNA". It matches the Rfam family "Bacterial small subunit ribosomal RNA", at positions 29 to 507 of the family's 1533-position model. The record is from RNAcentral.